RNAcentral lists this ribosomal RNA (433 nucleotides) under uncultured bacterium. Its description in RNAcentral is "partial 16S ribosomal RNA". It matches the Rfam family "Bacterial small subunit ribosomal RNA", at positions 29 to 507 of the family's 1533-position model. The record is from RNAcentral.
AACGAACGCUGGCGGCAUGCCUAACACAUGCAAGUCGAACGAUACCUUCGGGUCUAGUGGCGCACGGGUGCGUAACGCGUGGGAACCUUCCCUUAGGUUCGGAAUAACUCCCCGAAAGGGGUGCUAAUACCGGAUAAUGUCUUCGGACCAAAGAUUUAUCGCCUUUGGAUGGGCCCGCGUUGGAUUAGCUAGUUGGUAGGGUAAAAGCCUACCAAGGCGACGAUCCAUAGCUGGUCUGAGAGGAUGAUCAGCCACACUGGGACUGAGACACGGCCCAGACUCCUACGGGAGGCAGAAGUGGGGAAUAUUGGACAAUGGGCGAAAGCCUGAUCCAGCAAUGCCGCGUGAGUGAUGAAGGCCUUAGGGUUGUAAAGCUCUUUUAACCGGGAUGAUAAUGACAGUACCGGGAGAAUAAGCUCCGGCUAACUACGUG